CUAUGAAGCUGCUCCUCAUAUUUUCGCCAGAGCCAAAUUGAAGUUCAAAACAGCUGAAAUCUGCCUCUAGAGAUGGAGAAAGAGGGACCUUUGGACAGAAUCCUCUUUUAUAAAGUCAUCCCUGUUAGCUAAGAAUUUAUUUAUUUAUUUAUUAUUUUUUUCACAAAUAUGAACGCAUUCUCUUCUAGGCUUCCCAAAUUACUCAAAGAAUCCACCCCUUUGCUCCGUGAAAAAUUUGCGUCUUUCUUAGAGACAUGUUCAAAUGUCAAUUUAUUGAAGAAGUUACACGCUUGUUUAUGUACCCGAGGCCUUGCAGAUAACAAAUUUUUGAGAUCCAAGCUUGUCAAAUCCUAUACAAGAUUCAAUCUCUUAAAAGAGUCCAAAUGGGUUUUUGAUAAAGUUGUUGAUAACAAUCUUCCUCUCUGGAUUUCAGUUAUUGUUGGGUACUUUAGAGGUGAUAACUUUGAUGAAGUGUUGAGGCAAUAUAUAGAACUGAGGCGGAUAAAUAUUGGUAUUCAUAGUUCUGCGCUCACAUUAGGCUUGAAAAGUUGUGUUGAAUUGGGGACUUUUGAAUUUGGAAGAGCCAUUCAUGUGGAUGGUUUUAAAUUUGGAUUGAGUAAUGAUCAAUUUGUGGGGUCAUCUUUGAUUGGGUUUUAUUCGAAAUUUGAUCACAUUGAGAAAGCAGCUAAAGUGUUUGAAGAAAUUAUUAACAGAGAUGUGGUUACUUAUACUUCGAUUAUCACAGGGUACGCUCAUGCUGCUGAUCUUUUUGCUUACAAAGCUUUUAGAAUGACAUCUCAUAUGCAAUGGGAUGGAAUUGAGCCUAAUAGGGUUACUUUGGUAAGUUUACUUCAGGCUGCAUCACAAUUAGGAGCACUAGAAGAGGGAAAAUCAAUUCAUGGUUAUGGAAUUAGAAGAGGCAUUGGUUGCCUAGAUGAAGUUUUUGAAACAAUCCUGAUGGAUAUGUAUAUAAAGUGUGGUGAUCCAAACAAGGCAGCUGCAAUCUUUGAAAAGAUGGAUGAAAAGACUAUUGGUUCUUGGAAUGCUUUGAUUGCUUGUCAUGUUCAACUGGGAGAGCCGUUGAAAGCUCUCAACCUGUUUUCCCAAAUGGUGGAAGAAGACUGUGAGCUUGAUUUGAUCACUUUAGCAAAUGGACUAAUGAGUUGUGCAGAUUUGGGGAAUUUGGUUAUGGGAAAAAGUAUUCAUAGUUACAUAAUUCGAUCAGGAAUUCGACUUGAUCUUGUCACUACCACAAAUUUAAUUGAUAUGUACUCGAAAUGUAAGCACUUAACUGAAGCAAGUGAAGUCUUUAACAAAUCAGAGGAUAAAGAUAGUGUUUUAUUUAAUGUGAUGAUAGCUGCUUAUCAAUGUAAUGGAUUUCCACAUCGGGCCAUGGAGACAUUUAAUGAAAUGGUAAUGGCAGGUGUUAGACAGAAUACUAGUACCAUCUUGAGUGUGCUCUCAUCAUUAUCUGAUAUAAAAAACUCACGGGCAGGCAAGUGCAUCCAUGGAUAUGUGCUUGAACUUGGUUUUGAAGCGAACACUGAAGUUGCUAAUCAACUUAUGAACAUGUACGCAAAAUGUGGCUUCAUAGGAUGUGCAAGAAAAGUUUUUGACACAUUGAAGAUUAAGGAUACAGUAUCUUGGACAACACUUAUGAUGGGUUACAUUAAUCACAAUCUUGCUGAUGAAGCAAUGACCUUGUUUAGGUUGAUGCUAAGAGAAAAGCUUUGCCUUGAUUCUGUAGCUUUAACAAGUGUGCUUCAGGCAUUAAAUCAGCUUGGGAUUGUAAGUUUAGGAAGAGAAGUUCACUGUCUUGCAUAUCGAAUAUCUGUGGAAGAAGAUAUAUUUUUAAUCAAUUCCCUAAUUAUUACUUAUAGCAGAUGUGGAAAAUUAACGAUGGCUAGAAAUUUGUUUGGACACAUGUCUGAACGUCAUUUAUCAUCAUGGAACACUAUGAUAGCUGCGUAUAGGAUGCAUGGGGAUUGCGUACAGGCACUCAAAUUGUUUGACCAGAUGAGAAGAGAGAAGAUCUCACCUGAUGAGGUUACCUUCACAUCAGUACUCUCCGCCUGCAGUCAUUCUGGAUCUUUAGAAAAGGGCUUGUGUAUUUUCUGGUCCAUGGAGAAAGAAUAUGGAGUUGUUCCAUCAGAGGAGCAUUAUGGCUGUGUAGUGGAUUUGUUGGGACGAGCAGGACAGAUAGAAGAAGCAUACAAUCUUCUAAAAAAAUUUCCAUCAGAACAGUGUUCUUCUGCUCUUAGGGCUCUGCUAGCUGCUUGCAGAGUUCAUGGUAGUACUGCGAUGGGGGAAAGAAUAGGAAGAUGGUUAUUGAAUAUGGAGCCCCAACAUACAAGCAUUUAUUGUGCUGUGUCGAAUAUGUACGCUGGAGGAGGAAAAUGGGAUGAUGUAGCGCGUAUCGGAGCUAUUGCAAAGGGGAAAGGUUUGAAAAGGACUACAGGGUAUAGCCUUGUUGAUUUAUGCUAAAUUUGCCUUACCGUCAUUGAGCAUAUUGCUCGAAUUUUAGAUAGCUUAACCAAAUACAUACCUUCAUGCUGUCUAUAUCGGUAACAAAAAUUCUUUGAACAUACAUGCUGCUGUAAAGUUGCUCCCAAGCACAAUUUCGCUGCUAAAUAGUUCUUUGGUAAUUUCUUUAUGUGGACUUGAUUCUGUUCCUGCAUAGAUAGGGCUGAUUUCCAGUACUAGGCCGAGGUUCCAGCCUAUAAUGCCUAACCAGGUUGAGAUGUAACUGCGCUUGGAAUCAGACAUAAGGAUUGUUGGGAUUCUGGACCUACAGAUCAGCAGUUCUAGGGUUACUAAUGCUGAUAUACAAUUCAUUGAGGCCGUUGAGGCCUAGAAGACCCCAGGCCUCCAGCCCAUGGGAUGAUUCUUCUUCUGUUUACUUGAUCAUAUAGAAGGAAAUUUAGCUUCUUAGAUAAUUGAAUGUGAUGUUAAGUGUGAUUUUGGUAGUUUGCAAGUUCAAUUAUUAUUAUUAUUUGUUGGUAAUAUCUAGAGUAGCAAACCAUACUAGAGGUGUUACAUUAAAUUGACCUAAUGAUGAUCCUGUUAAGGUGUUCAUUGAUCCUAGCAGCACGAACAACUUAUUAUCAAUUGGUCAAUUUUUUGUAAUGCUUCUAAUAUGGUUUACUACACUGAGGUGUUCAUUGAUCGUAGCAGCACAAACAACCAUUUAUAAAGGUUUCUGGAAUUGAGCCUUACUCGAUUUGGAACUUCCAAUGGUUUUACGCCCAAGAAAGAGAAGACCGAGAAGCAGCAGUCUAGAUCAUCUUUGCAAUCACACACCUGCAUGGAUGUGGCAUGUGAUUGGAAUGAAUGGCGAGAAUGGCAAGUCAUAAUAUUGCAUUCGGUAAAAUAUUCUUUUAGGUUCAUUUCAUAUGUCGUUUUCUUUGCAGAUAACAGUCUUAAGAUUCAGUUCAAUUGCCUGUUAUUUUGAAACUAGGAUUUACAGUUUCAGGUUGGUAUUUUGCUGCUUAUUUCAGAUUCCCAAUCCUCUUAUUGAAGAAUGUAUUGAUAGAACAGAAUAGGUGGAAUUUGGGCUGUAAAUAUGCCAUGAGCGGAUUAUUUAGUUGUUUGUAGAAUUCAGCUAACUCUGACAAAAUGGAAGUGCUGAACGUUUUUGGAAGAGGGACGCGCUGUGGAAAUCUGUGAAGCCAGCACUCUUUGGAAUGAUGAUAGGGUCAAAAAUCCUUGUUCAGCAUCUUUCUGUUCAUCACAGUUGGAUUGCGCAUCAGACUCUUUGGUUCAACUGCUUUCCAGAAAUUUCUAAAGCACUGAGCCACAGAUUGAUUGCACUUUGGCUGUCGCUGAUAAGCAAAAUUGCCAAGUUAGUAUUAUAGCACUUUAUCUUAAUUGUCUAAUGAUAGCUAGAAUUGUUAGUCAAGUGAAUUGUUUAGUACAAGUUUGUUGGUCUACUAAGGAUGAAGAGUCUUGCUGCGUUAUCAGAAGUAUGGCAUUAAUAAAAUUCAGCAUGAUAUCCUCUGUUGUUGAAAGUUAACACUUUGACUUGUGGGCAUGCAUCCAAAUCAUCUUUCUGGUACUUAAGACCUCCCUCCAAGCAAUACAUACGACUUUCCGCAAAAUACUAUUUGUCUGAGUUUUGUAGAGUUGUAGGGACCUUCCUAAUCCGGCUUCCCAAAAUUCUUUUCAUAGCUACCGUUUCUUUCCUUUUCGUU
This 4190-nucleotide long non-coding RNA is filed under the name Olea europaea subsp. europaea. Lineage: Eukaryota; Viridiplantae; Streptophyta; Magnoliopsida; Lamiales; Oleaceae. The record is from RNAcentral.